Molecule: ribosomal RNA, 331 nt
Filed under: uncultured eukaryote
Lineage: Eukaryota
Description: partial 18S ribosomal RNA
Rfam family: Eukaryotic small subunit ribosomal RNA
Source: RNAcentral
CCCUUAGAUGUUCUGGGCCGCACGCGCGCUACACUGACGAAGUCAGCGAGCAUGUCCUACGCCGACAGGUGCGGGGAAUCUUGUCAAACUUCGUCGUGAUGGGGAUUGAUUAUUGAAAUUCUUGAUCAUCAACGAGGAAUUCCUAGUAAGCGCAAGUCAGCAGCUUGCGUUGAUUACGUCCCUGCCCUUUGUACACACCGCCCGUCGCUACUACCGAUUGAAUGGUUUAGUGAGAUCUUCGGACUGGCGCCACUGCGGCUCAGCAAUGGGCUCGGUGGAUGCCGAAAAGUUGAUCAAACUUGAUCAUUUAGAGGAAGUAAAAGUCGUAACA